Molecule: ribosomal RNA, 502 nt
Filed under: uncultured bacterium
Lineage: Bacteria
Description: bacterial SSU rRNA
Rfam family: Bacterial small subunit ribosomal RNA
Source: RNAcentral
GAUGAACGCUAGCGGCAGGCCUAAUACAUGCAAGUCGAACGGUAAGUAUUUUAGCAAUAGAAUACGAGAGUGACGUACGGGUGCGUAACACGUAUGCAACUUACCCUUUACAGGAGGAUAGCUCGGGGAAACUCGAAUUAACCCUCCAUGAGAUCACAGUGUGGCAUCACACAGUGAUUAAAACUCCGGUGGUAAAGGAUGGGCAUGCGUCUGAUUAGUUAGUUGGCGGGGUAACGGUCCACCAAGACGAUGAUCAGUAGGGGAACUGAGAGGUUGAUCCCCCACACUGGCACUGAGAUACGGGCCAGACUCCUACGGGAGGCAGCAGUAGGGAAUAUUGGUCAAUGGAUGGAAGUCUGAACCAGCCAUGCCGCGUGCAGGAAGAAGGCCUUCUGGGUUGUAAACUGCUUUUGCCAGGGGAUAAAAAGACCAUGCGUGGUUAAUUGAAGGUACCUGGUGAAUAAGCCACGGCUAACUACGUGCCAGCAGCCGCGGUAAUACG